RNAcentral lists this long non-coding RNA (728 nucleotides) under Falco tinnunculus (common kestrel). RNAcentral describes it as "lncRNA (ENSFTIG00000000304.1)". Lineage: Eukaryota; Metazoa; Chordata; Aves; Falconiformes; Falconidae. The record is from RNAcentral.
GCACCCUGCCCUCACCUGGGGGCUUCAUUGCAGGGAGACCCCCCUGAGCUGAUGGAGACAGCUGAGCCCCCAGCGCUGAUGGAGGAGGGACCCAGUCCCAUGUCCCAGCUGGCAAGGAAGGUGCAGGGGGUGGGUGCCCGGGGCUGGCGGACGCUUUCAUCCCUCUUCACCCGUGAGGAUGAGCACCAGCUGCUCAGCCCGGAGCCCUGCGCAGACCACCCGCUGGCUGCCGAGCCGCCCCCGUCUGAGAACGCGCCCAGCUUUUGGGAUCUCUUUGCUACCAAGUGGCAGCAGGCGUCAGGGCCGGACAAGGAGGCGCCCCCCCCGGAGCCGGGUGAGAGCCCUGGGGAGCCGCCGGGUGACGAUGGCAGCGACCUACGGGAGCCAGAGGAAGGGGCCUUCCACUGGGGCUUCCUGGCCAGCAAACUGGCUGAAAUCCGGAAUAAAAAUGCCCCCAAGGGCAACUAGAGGAGAAUGUGCUGGCCAGACUCUCCAGCAGUGUGAGUGCCCCCCCCUACUGCUGGUGGGCAGCCCCCUGCCCACAGCUGAGAGCUCCUUGGGGGGGUUUGGCUAUGUGUCUGCACUAAAGACCCCGAGGUGCCCCUUUUCCUCGAGCCCUGCCUGGUGCUUUUUUUGCCCUCACCCUCCCCCCAGCAGCCCAGCGCCCCUGGAGCAGUGCAGCCCCCACGGUGGGGAUGGGGAGCUGCCACCCCCGGCCUCGAAGUAUC